Long non-coding RNA from Dunckerocampus dactyliophorus (ringed pipefish), 1390 nucleotides. RefSeq lists it as uncharacterized. The record is from RefSeq and is a predicted model, not a curated record. The transcript is spliced from 4 exons. Lineage: Eukaryota; Metazoa; Chordata; Actinopteri; Syngnathiformes; Syngnathidae.
AGUUGCGGUAGAGCGAGUGACAGUAUGCUACUCUUACCUCGUAAAAUAAAGUCUGGGGGUCCAAAAAGGAAAGAGAAAAAGAUUUAACAACAGAUGAGUCAGCAGCAGCCCUGUCUCCCCAUGACUUUAUCCCUCCCACUGAAGAAGAUUUCAGAUGGAUGUUUUCAUCAAGAGUAAAGAUCCUAAGGGCACGUGGACACGCUCUUCUGCAGGAGCACCAAAACAACAGCAAAGAGAGUCCCAGGAUGCAUCAAUCAAAACAGAUUUCCCAAACAGGAAAUGAAAGGGCUUGUUAGCAGAGGAACAGCAAGGCAGGGGAAGACGGAGAUCAGAGAGCCAGUGUUGAGGCUGACAACGGCCCCAGUCUGCAUGAACCAUCACAACCCAGCCAGACAGCAAGCCUGCAUAAAUCCACAAGAAGGUCACAUUUCUGCUUGCCUUCAUUAGUGUUUACUGGCUUUAACAACAUGGGUCAGAGCAGAGAUUGUUGGAUGCCAAACCAAUUUAGGUGCUUUUGGUGAGACAUUGCAAAGCCAGCUGUGGUGAGGCUAAAAAGAUGCUGGCACUGAGGGGCGAGGUGUUACCACAUUUAAAUGAAGAUGAAAAUGGAGCGUGCGGGGCCGGGUUGUACAAACACUCAAAUCAAGAUAUGAGAUUUUUUUUUUUUAAGUCAGCUUGGUCUUUCGGCUCAUGUUUUCAGCAGUCAGUUGGGAUAAAAUGAUGGGCUUGAGUCACGGCAGUCAGCAUACAGUAACAACUGGGAAAUACCCCAAAUUGGAAAAUCCCUGCAACUUCCCCUUCUGCUUUAUCGCCUGUGUAAAGAGUUGACACUGAAAUAUGGUUUGUCAGUGUAUUUUCUUUGGGUAGUGGACCAUAGCCCUGCUUAAAUCAACUAAGAUAUAUUGGAUUUUGAUCAAAUGCUGGAAAAGUGGUACAGGCAUUCUGUGCUUAUUUUAACUAUAAGGCUGGAUACACAAAUCCGAUGUGGCGUUGUAAUGACACACACACGCACACACGUCUGCACAUUCCCCUCUACUCAGUGAAUAGUUACUGGGCUGAUGCUCAGAGAGCUGUUGCCUUGUCCAAGGUCAAACACCCACUGUUCUGUUCCACUCAGCUGUGUAACCAUAACAGCUUAAUGACAUGCUAUUAGACGGCUAUCACACUUAAAGCAUCAUGUUCACGCCGCAACCACUGCCUGAGUCCCACACGCACAGUUAGAUAUACCAGCUUUAGGCCCUAAUCCUGCUAAUUUGACUUUGGAACUCGGAGCGUAAAUGGAGGCAGGCACUGCAGGAAGUAUUGCCGUUCACUUAAAUAUGUCUGGUUAUUUCAUUGUGGUGUGCAUGUAGAUUCUAGUAUUUCUUCCAUGAAAUAGUAUUAAUGUAUU